This 388-nucleotide ribosomal RNA is filed under the name uncultured bacterium. RNAcentral describes it as "bacterial SSU rRNA". It matches the Rfam family "Bacterial small subunit ribosomal RNA", at positions 370 to 772 of the family's 1533-position model. The record is from RNAcentral.
AAUGGGGGAAACCCUGAUGCAGCAACGCCGCGUGAAGGAUGACGGUUUUCGGAUUGUAAACUUCUUUUCUUAGUGACGAAGACAGUGACGGUAGCUAAGGAAUAAGCAUCGGCUAACUACGUGCCAGCAGCCGCGGUAAUACGUAGGAUGCAAGCGUUAUCCGGAUUUACUGGGUGUAAAGGGAGCGCAGGCGGGACUGCAAGUUGGAUGUGAAAUACCGUGGCUUAACCACGGAACUGCAUCCAAAACUGUAGUUCUUGAGUGAAGCAGAGGCAAGCGGAAUUCCGAGUGUAGCGGUGAAAUGCGUAGAUAUUCGCAGGAACACCAGUGGCGAAGGCGGCUUGCUGGGCUUUAACUGACGCUGAGGCUCGAAAGUGUGGGGAGCAAA